RNAcentral lists this unclassified non-coding RNA (256 nucleotides) under uncultured fungus. RNAcentral describes it as "sequence contains ITS1, 5.8S rRNA gene". The stretch from base 208 to 256 matches the Rfam family "5.8S ribosomal RNA", at positions 1 to 49 of the family's 154-position model. The record is from RNAcentral. Lineage: Eukaryota; Fungi.
UCUCCGUUGGUGAACCAGCGGAGGGAUCAUUGCUGGAAGCGUCUCACGGCGCACCCAGAUACCCUUUGUGAACUUAUACCUAUUGUUGCCUCGGCGUAGGCCGGCCUCUUCACUGAGGCCCCCUGGAAACAGGGAGCAGCCCGCCGGCGGCCAACCAAACUCUUGUUUCUACAGUGAAUCUCUGAGUAAAAAACAUAAAUGAAUCAAAACUUUCAACAACGGAUCUCUUGGUUCUGGCAUCGAUGAAGAACGCAGC